GUACAAAAGACCCUCCGAGUGAUUAAAACUUAGGCCUACUAGCCAAAGUGUAAUAUCACUUAUUGAUCCAAACUCUUGAUCAACGGAACA
This 90-nucleotide ribosomal RNA is filed under the name Monodon monoceros (narwhal). Its description in RNAcentral is "partial 16S ribosomal RNA". Lineage: Eukaryota; Metazoa; Chordata; Mammalia; Artiodactyla; Monodontidae. The record is from RNAcentral.